GUUCCGGACACUCCAGCGGAGGCGCAAAAACCGUGCGCAUGGCAUAUCUAGUUCAGCGCACGGGCCGAAACGCCAUCGCGCGCCGCUUAUUUGCUGCGCCCACUCCCGCGCACUGGACUCUCGAGCGCUCACUCGCAACUCCACCUAUCCCAUCCAGCCGCGGCGCCGCCGCCGCCCGCGCCACCAGGCGACCGUUCCGGCGCUUCCCCGGCCUAUCCCCGCGCCGCGACGGCUUCCUCCGCCUCCCUCUUGUCACUGCCGCCCCUCGAGCGCGGCGGUCCUCCGACGAACAGCGCGCGGCCGCUCGCUGCCGCUCGGCGCCCACAAGUUGUUCGACAAAACGCCCGCAAGAUGAGUUCGUCGUAUGAUUCUUCCGAAAAAGAAUUUGAUAUAGAAGAGGAGGAGGAUCUUGCAAUGAUCCUAGCUAUGCACAUCAAUAUAAAACCGAAGCGCGGUGGUUCGGUUAUGGCCGGCAGAAAAUUUGGAGGGAUAGGAUCGAUGCCCACAACAGAUUGAUCGGGCAUUAUUUUGCGGAGAAUCCCACAUACCCCGAGUCGUACUUUCGUCGCCGGUUUAGGAUGAGCACCGAGUUGUUCAGGCGCAUUGCAGAGAAACUAGCGAGCCAUGACCGGUUUUUUCAGCAAUGGAGGAAUGCCGCCGGAGAGCUCGGGCAUAGCACCUUUCAGAGGUGACAGCCGCUUUGCGUAUGUUGGCAUACGGUAUCCCGGCUGAUCUAGUUGAUGAACACUUGGCUAUGGGCGAGAGCCAAACCAUCAUGUGUGUCAAGCGCUUCGCAGUCAGAACUGUCCAAGUGUUUGGCCAGGAGAAUUUGAGAUCUCCCAAUGCUGAAGACGCCGCAAGGCUAUUGGAGAUGAACAAAGCUCGCGGGUUCCCAGGUAUGCUUGGCUCAAUAGAUUGCAUGCAUUGGAGUUGGAAGAAUUCUCCAAAGGCAUGGCAUGGGCAAUUCCACGGCCAAAAAAAAGGGUUCCACUAUAAUCCUUGAAGCGGUGGCCGAUCAAGAGACAUGGAUUUGGCAUGCUUUCUUUGGAAUGCCUGGAUCUUUGAAUGACAUCAAAGUUGUCAAGCGAUCACCACUGAUGAAUAAGAUUGCAAAUGGUGAUUUGCCACUGAUGCAGUUUGUAGCAAAUGGCCGUACAUACAACUAUGGCUAUUAAGUUGCGGAUGGCAUCUACCCAAAGUGGCAAACAUUUGUGAAGCCGUUGAAAAAACCGGAAGGUAAGAAAAAUCUUGACUUCCACAAUGCUCGGGCGGCGGCUAGAAAAGACGUGGAGAGAGCUUUUGGGAUUUUGCAAGCCCAAUUUGCUAUUAUGAGAGGACCGGCUAGAUUUUGGGAUCAAAAGAUGCUUUGGUACAUCCUGCACGCUUGUGUGAUCAUGCACAACAUGAUCAUCGAGAAUGAGCAUGGCCACGAUGUAGACUACUCUCAGUAUGAGCUUUUGCGACAUCCCGUGCGAGUGCGACGGAGGGCUGAAAGGGUGGCCCGUUUUGUUGCCUUCUAUCAUGCCAUUCGACGUCCCGCAGUGCAUGAUGAUCUUCAGAAGGAUCUCAUAGAGGAGUGGUGGGCAUGGAAUGGGCGAUAAAGAGCAUCAUGAUUUGUGCGUUUGAUGCUGUAUUGUUGAACUAUUUGUUGUGUUAUUGAACUAUUUGUUGUAUUGAGAACGAUAAACUAUUUGUUUGAGUUGUAAUAACGAAAUUG
Molecule: ribosomal RNA, 1717 nt
Filed under: Triticum aestivum (bread wheat)
Lineage: Eukaryota; Viridiplantae; Streptophyta; Magnoliopsida; Poales; Poaceae
Description: partial small subunit ribosomal RNA
Source: RNAcentral